AUGGCCAAGGCAAACCCCUCAUAUUACCAAACCACCGCUCCGGUUAGCGCACCGGUCCAGUACCAGGAACAUCUCUUCCACCUGUUCGUGCAUCAGCAGCUCGAAGCAACAAAUGGUGCUAACCAGCUCAUUACAGUGAACCCAAAGCUUCCCCAGGGGUUCGGUGUCACCGUUGCUACUGACUGGGACAUCCGCGAUGGUCCCGACACCACGGCAAAGGUUGUUGCGCGUGCACAAGGCCUGCAUCAAGGGUCCGGCAAGAGCAGCGGAGCCUGGUUUAUGUCGUUCAACACAGUGUUCACCGAUGAGAGGUUUAAGGGGUCCUCCCUCAGUGUGCAAGGGCAUUUGGUUUCUGACGAAGGUGAAUGGGUAGUCACGGGUGGGACUGGCGAGUUCGCUUUUGCACAAGGUGUGGUCACCUACAAGAAAAUCAAGGAAUUGGCAGGCGGAAACAUCAGAGAGCUUCGUUUCCGUGUUGUGUGCUUCAACUUCCCAAAGCCGAACACCCUUACAAAGGUUGGGCCGUGGGGUGGGAAUGGAGGGACACCAUUUGGGCCGUGGGGCGGGAAUGGAGGGAUACCAUUUGAAAUCACAGAGGCAGAGCAACCUCAGCGUCUAGAAAGUGUCACAAUUCAGAGUAACGAAGUUAUUGAUGCCAUUGCCUUCACCUACAUCGGUCAAGGCGGUGCAAGGCGGACUGUCGGUCCAUUUGGUGGUGGCGGCGGGGUCAAGCAGCCGAUCGUGCAGCUUGGUCCUUCAGAGACCGUGAAGGAAAUAUUUGGCACAACCGGCAACUUUCAAGGAUCGAAUGUUGUCACAUCACUUUCCAUUGUCACCAAUGUUAAGACAUAUGGACCAUUCGGAAAACAAUCCAACGGUACUACUCCUUUCCGUACCACUGCGCCAGACAAGCACAGCAUUGUGGGCUUCUACGGGCGGUCUGGGCAAUUUGUUGAUCAGCUUGGAGCUUAUGUGCGCCCAACCCCAAAUUAG
RNAcentral lists this ribosomal RNA (993 nucleotides) under Triticum aestivum (bread wheat). RNAcentral describes it as "partial small subunit ribosomal RNA". Lineage: Eukaryota; Viridiplantae; Streptophyta; Magnoliopsida; Poales; Poaceae. The record is from RNAcentral.